CGUGUAGGCGGCUUGGUAAGUCGGGUGUGAAAUCCCGAGGCUCAACCUCGGAACUGCACCCGAAACUGCCUAGCUUGAGUCCCGGAGAGGGUGGCGGAAUUUCCGGUGUAGAGGUGAAAUUCGUAGAUAUCGGAAGGAACACCAGUGGCGAAGGCGGCCACCUGGACGGUGACUGACGCUGAGACGCGAAGGCGUGGGGAGCAAACAGGAUUAGAUACCCUGGUAGUCC
Molecule: ribosomal RNA, 229 nt
Filed under: uncultured bacterium
Lineage: Bacteria
Description: partial 16S ribosomal RNA
Rfam family: Bacterial small subunit ribosomal RNA
Source: RNAcentral